GGUGCCUGAAGCAGUUGAGAGACAUUUAUAAUGAAAUGUUCAGGAGAAUGUGAUUAAAUUUGAAAUUUCAAUGACUAAGAGAAUUGAUUAUUACAACUUGUUUUAUUAGAUGCAGUUCUCCCUGCAGCUCAAACACGAAGUAAAGGUGUGAGAGGAGUCCCAGGAAUAUGCCAGGGCCCUGCAAGAGUCAGACUGAGGCCAGCUGUGCUCACACACACUGAUGACACGAUGACACUAAUGGACAAGUAUGGGAAAGAGGUAAAGCCUCAUUCUUAGACUCCCCCAAACCUCUCCUCACCAUAAAUCCAGGCCCAUGUUCUGUUGCCCAGGCAGGGUUAGCACAAGGAAGACGCAGUCAGGUCCUGUGUGUCUCCAGAGAGGGGCCUCCCAUGGGUGAGACCCCACUGGGUGAGCAAUGGACUCUGGAUAGCACUCCCCUCUCAGGCUGGAGAUACCCUACAGCCAGCAGCACCAGCGGAGUUUCUAUCAAAAUGUGCAAAGUUUGCAGUCGCCCAGGAAGAGCCACUUUCCCAGCCCUCAGGAGUUAGCAUCAGAGACAGCCUCCUUCAAUGCAAAGAGCUCCAGCAACUUUGUUCCCUACUAAGUGUAAUGCUGACAGGGCCCCUGCCACCCACACCCAUCAUUGCUGCAGUGUCAGACCAGAGACACCAGUCCCCAGGGAGAACACACCAUCUUUUGACCCAUAGAUUUCUACCACGAUGGGCUUAAGGCUGUAGGGGGCCAGGCCUGCCUCAAACACUAAACCUCCAUCAAUGGUCACAGCAUCUGCUUCAUUUGCCUGAAAGAGAAGGGAUCAAACCAUGCAUGAUGCCCAUCACUUCUGAGAAAGACUCCUCUAACCCUCUGCCAGAGACACUUGCUCAAUAGACACUUGCAUGACUCAAGCCUCCUUCACCUCCAUUACAUCACUGCUCAAAUGUCAUCUCCUCAGUGAGGCAUUCCCUGACCACAGUCUUCAAACUACCAUCUCGUGUAUGCUGGAUGCCACUUUGUUUUCCUUCUGAGCCUUAUCAACCACGUGACAAACUCUGUUUAUUGUUUGUCCUCCCCUUUGGAAUGUAAGCUCCAUGAAGGUGGAGGCAUGUUUGUCUGUUCUAUUCCCUACUCAAUCCCAGCACCUAGAGGAGCACCUAGCACAGGUAGGUGUUCAAUAAACAUUUCUUGGGUACGUAAGUGAAUGCAUUGUAGAAUAUUUCCAUCCAUAAGAAGUCAGGUUUGGCACUCUCAAAUGUGGAUUCCCUUGGCAGGGAUCUGUCAGCCAAAAGUUCCUUCCUUCAAGAAGCAAGCAACUUCACAGCCUCUUCUCCACAAUGAGGUUGGAUCAUUUCCCUACCCAUCAUGGAAAUCAUUCUUUUUAUUCAUUUAUUGACUGACAUUUAAAGCAACUUGAGAUUUUCUGAAUUUACUAUUAUGUUUCUGUAUGCCUCCCUUUUCCUCCAUCCCACUUUUUCUUAUAAAUAUUUUACAAUAUAUAUUCAUAUAUAUGUAUGUAUAUUUGUAUCUAUGUGUGUGUGUAUAAAGUUAGGACUCUAAUUAAAUGCAUGCAUCAGAAACUGACAUAAAUAACCUUAAGAAAAGGAGAGAUUUAGUAUACAGGUAAAAGGGCAAGAAGGCCGCUGGGCCUUGUGAACACCAUCAAGAUGAGAAGCAGCGAGAAUUGACAUGGGUUUCAGUCCGUCCCGUGGGCUCCAGCUCAUGAUUAUGGCCUCCAGGUAGUUCUUGCCUUUUCCCACUUUACAUACAUCUUUCUUUCCUGACUGACUCCUCUGCAAACCCCAAUAACAGAUGCAAAAAGACAACAGUCUUAUAGAGACUGCUUAACUAGCACCCACAACUGUAUAAGGUCAAACUCCUCUAACAUAUCUCUCCCUCUCUCUUCCCAUAAACACACAUACACAUACACACAUUACAAAAAUAGAUGAAAAUUUAUGCACAUCUUUAUGACCCUUACUGAAUAUUUCUAAGUUGGUUUCCAGAAAUGAUAUAGAAAUGUAUGAUUUAUAAUGCCAAUAGCAAUGCGUACCAAUUUCACUGCAAACCUACCAGUGAGAAGUGUUAUCACUUUAGAAAUGUCAUUACAUUACUAAAUAUAAACUGUUAUUUUUAGAAUGGUUUUAUUUG
RNAcentral lists this long non-coding RNA (2142 nucleotides) under Homo sapiens (human). RNAcentral's name for it is "HSALNT0060778". The record is from RNAcentral. Lineage: Eukaryota; Metazoa; Chordata; Mammalia; Primates; Hominidae.